UACGAAUUCAUGGGUCCGGUGAAGUGUUCGGAUCGCUCCGACGUGGGCGGUUCGCUGCCCGCGACGUAGCGAGAAGUCCACUGAACCUUAUCAUUUAGAGGAAGGAGAAGUCGUAACAAGGUUUCCGUAGGUGAACCUGCGGAAGGAUCAUUG
RNAcentral lists this ribosomal RNA (153 nucleotides) under Streptocarpus meyeri. Its description in RNAcentral is "partial 18S ribosomal RNA". It matches the Rfam family "Eukaryotic small subunit ribosomal RNA", at positions 1683 to 1831 of the family's 1831-position model. Lineage: Eukaryota; Viridiplantae; Streptophyta; Magnoliopsida; Lamiales; Gesneriaceae. The record is from RNAcentral.